CCUUGGCCGAAAGAAUCACUUUGACUAACAUUGUUCUACGAGCAAUACCACUUUAUUAGAUGGCAAUUCUAAAAAUUUUCAAUCAAACUAUCUAGAAGAUCAACAAACUAUGUCGAGACUCUAUUUGGGGAGACUACCAUAGCAGCUAAGAUUCGAUUAGCAGGAUCAAAUAUUGAGCAAGCUGGCCAAGCAUAUGCCAUCUGAAAA
RNAcentral lists this long non-coding RNA (207 nucleotides) under Elaeis guineensis (African oil palm). RNAcentral's name for it is "long non-coding RNA (EGUI_LNC028144)". The record is from RNAcentral. Lineage: Eukaryota; Viridiplantae; Streptophyta; Magnoliopsida; Arecales; Arecaceae.